GAGAGACUUCGGGGGAGGAAUCGAAGAGCGAGCGAGAGAGAAAUCGGGUCACGAGCUCGACCGACCUCCCACUGAGAGACUUCGGGGGAGGUCGCCGGCGAGCGAGUCCGAGGAGGUCAGAUCUGGCCAGUGGAGGCUCGGAUCUAACCGGAGUGAGAGAGAAGCGAGGUCGGAGGAGGCGAAGGAGUUCUGGAUCCGCGAAGAGAGGCAGAAGAAGAGGUCCCACCCCCCGACGUCGCUGCUGUGCCGAAUCCCGCCGUGCCGCCGUCUCGUUGUCGACACCGCCAACCGAG
Molecule: long non-coding RNA, 293 nt
Filed under: Eucalyptus grandis
Lineage: Eukaryota; Viridiplantae; Streptophyta; Magnoliopsida; Myrtales; Myrtaceae
Description: long non-coding RNA (EGRA_LNC002194)
Source: RNAcentral